RNAcentral lists this ribosomal RNA (492 nucleotides) under uncultured bacterium. RNAcentral's name for it is "partial 16S ribosomal RNA". It matches the Rfam family "Bacterial small subunit ribosomal RNA", at positions 29 to 507 of the family's 1533-position model. The record is from RNAcentral.
AGUGAACGCUGGCGGUAGGCCUAACACAUGCAAGUCGAACGGCAGCACCGUAAGAGCUUGCUCUUACGGGUGGAGAGUGGCGGACGGGUGCGGAAUACAUCGGAAUCUACUUUUUCGUGGGGGCUAACGUAGGGAAACUUACGCUAAUAACGCAUACGACCUACGGGUGAAAGCAGGGGAUCUUCGGACCUUGCGCGAUUGAAUGAGCCGAUGUCGGAUUAGCUAGUUGGCGGGGUAAAGGCCCACCAAGGCGACGAUCCGUAGCUGGUCUGAAAGGAUGAACAGCCACACUGGAACGGAGGCACGGUCCAGACUCCUACGGGAGGCAGCAGUGGGGAAUAUUGGAGGAUGGGGGCAAGCGGGAUCCAGCCAUACCGGGGGGGGGAUGAAGGAGUUCGGGUGGGAAAGUCCUUUUGGUGUGAAAGAAAAGCAGCAGGUUUAUACCCCGCUGUUCUGACGGUACCCAAAGAAUAAGCACCGGCUAACUUCGUG